Erinaceus europaeus (western European hedgehog) is the source of this 493-nucleotide long non-coding RNA. RefSeq lists it as uncharacterized. The transcript is spliced from 2 exons. NCBI's taxonomy places the organism in Eukaryota, Metazoa, Chordata, Mammalia, Eulipotyphla, Erinaceidae. The record is from RefSeq and is a predicted model, not a curated record.
GGCUAGAGUGGCCGCCAAGGCGCCCUCCGAGUGGCCACGUUCCUGAGGGAGCACAUAGCCAGCCAAUUAGAAUAAGCAAUUCCAUCGGAAGGACCGCCCUCGGGACCGGAAAUGAAGGCCUGCUGGGUGGACAACGAGGAACUGCGCAUGUCCGAGCUGACUCCAGAGUUCCUCCGCUCUCGGCCGCUGCUACUCUCAUCCCGUUGCCUCGGCUCUAUCUCCUCCCCCUUCUCGGGGCCUCAGUCUGCGCUGUGAUAGGAUCUGAUGCAAUGAUCUCCCUGGUCCUCCCUGGUUUUUGAGCGACUUGAAUUAUUGUUUUAAAAAACGCCAAGAGGAAACUCUUCCUCCACUCCACUUCCCCUCUUCCUAAAGCAAACACCUGCUAAAUCAAAACCCUCAUCUUCAGACCCUGCCAGUGUUAGCACCCCCGGGGAAAGAACAAUUCGCCUUCCACUACACGACAAUGCUUGAAAUAAAGGAACUCAGAUUCACA